CCUACGGGAGGCUGCAGUGAGGAAUAUUGGUCAAUGGCCGUAAGGCUGAACCAGCCAAGUAGCGUGAGGGAAGACUGCCCUAUGGGUUGUAAACCUCUUUUAUGCGGGGAUAAAGGUGUCCACGUGUGGAUGUUUGCAGGUACCGCAUGAAUAAGGACCGGCUAAUUCCGUGCCAGCAGCCGCGGUAAUACGGAGGGUCCGGGCGUUAUCCGGAUUUAUUGGGUUUAAAGGGAGCGUAGGCGGGCAUUUAAGCGUGCCGUGAAAUUUUGUGGCUCAACCGUGGAAGUGCGGCUGAAACUGGAGACCUUGAGUGCGGGGAAGGCAGGCGGAAUUCGUGGUGUAGCGGUGAAAUGCUUAGAUAUCACGAAGAACCCCGAUUGCGAAGGCAGCCUGCCGAAGCGUUACUGACGCUGAAGCUCGAAAGCGCGGGUAUCGAACAGGAUUAGAUACCCGUGUAGUC
This 460-nucleotide ribosomal RNA is filed under the name uncultured bacterium. RNAcentral's name for it is "partial 16S ribosomal RNA". It matches the Rfam family "Bacterial small subunit ribosomal RNA", at positions 338 to 795 of the family's 1533-position model. The record is from RNAcentral.